CCUACGGGGGCUGCAGUGGGGAAUAUUGGACAAUGGGCGAAAGCCUGAUCCAGCCAUGCCGCGUGUGUGAAGAAGGCCUUCGGGUUGUAAAGCACUUUCAGUGGGGAAGAAAGCCUUGGGGCUAAUACCCUCGAGGAAGGACAUCACCCACAGAAGAAGCACCGGCUAACUCCGUGCCAGCAGCCGCGGUAAUACGGAGGGUGCGAGCGUUAAUCGGAAUUACUGGGCGUAAAGCGCGCGUAGGCGGUCUGAUAAGCCGGUUGUGAAAGCCCCGGGCUCAACCUGGGAACGGCAUCCGGAACUGUCAGGCUAGAGUGCAGGAGAGGAAGGUAGAAUUCCCGGUGUAGCAGUGAAAUGCGUAGAGAUCGGGAGGAAUACCAGUGGCGAAGGCGGCCUUCUGGACUGACACUGACGCUGAGGUGCGAAAGCGUGGGUAGCAAACAGGAUUAGAUACCCCGGUAGUC
Molecule: ribosomal RNA, 464 nt
Filed under: Vreelandella stevensii
Lineage: Bacteria; Pseudomonadati; Pseudomonadota; Gammaproteobacteria; Oceanospirillales; Halomonadaceae
Description: partial 16S ribosomal RNA
Rfam family: Bacterial small subunit ribosomal RNA
Source: RNAcentral